GAUGAACGCUGGCGGCGUGCCUAAUACAUGCCAGUCGAGCGAACAGACGAGGAGCUUGCUCCUCUGACGUUAGCGGCGGACGGGUGAGUAACACGUGAAUAACCUACCUAUAAGACUGGGAUAAAUUCGGGAAACCGGAGCUAAUACCGGAUAAUAUAUUGAACCGCAUGGUUCAAUAGUGAAAGACGGUUUUGCUGUCACUUAUAGAUGGAUCGGCGCCGCAUUAGCUAGUUGGUAAGGUAACGGCUUACCAAGGCGACGAUGCGUAGCCGACCUGAGAGGGUGAUCGGCCACACUGGAACUGAGACACGGUCCAGACUCCUACGGGAGGCAGCAGUAGGGAAUCUUCCGCAAUGGGCGAAAGCCUGACGGAGCAACGCCGCGUGAGUGAUGAAGGUCUUCGGAUCGUAAAACUCUGUUAUUAGGGAAGAACAAAUGUGUAAGUAACUAUGCACGUCUUGACGGUACCUAAUCAGAAAGCCACGGCUAACUACGUG
Molecule: ribosomal RNA, 497 nt
Filed under: uncultured bacterium
Lineage: Bacteria
Description: partial 16S ribosomal RNA
Rfam family: Bacterial small subunit ribosomal RNA
Source: RNAcentral